GUGCACCAGGCGCGAAAACUCCGCAAUGCUCGAAAGAGUGACGGGGGAUUCCAAGUGCCUACGCUUAGCGUAGGCUGUUCAGAUGCCUAAAAAGCAUCUGGAGUAAGGGCUGGGUAAGACGGGUGCCAUCUGCAGUGGUAAUGAAAACUUGCUACUGCAAGGCAUAAGCCGCCGCGGUAAUACCCGCAGCCCGAGUGGUAGUCGCUUUUAUUGGGCCUAAAGCGUCCGUAGCCGGUCUGGUAAAUGCCUGGGGUAAAUCGUGGGGCCUAACCUCACGAAUUCCGGGUAGACUGCCAGACUUGGGACCGGUUGAGGGAGAGGGUACUCCAGGGGUAGGGGUGAAAUCCUGUAAUCCUUGGAGGACCACCGGUGGCGAAAGCGCUCUCCUAGGACGGGUCCGACGGUGAGGGACGAAAGCCAGGGGAGCAAACC
Molecule: ribosomal RNA, 432 nt
Filed under: uncultured microorganism
Description: bacterial SSU rRNA
Rfam family: Archaeal small subunit ribosomal RNA
Source: RNAcentral